AUUGAACGCUGGCGGCAGGCCUAACACAUGCAAGUCGAGCGGAUGAAGGGAGCUUGCUCCUGGAUUCAGCGGCGGACGGGUGAGUAAUGCCUAGGAAUCUGCCUGGUAGUGGGGGAUAACGUCCGGAAACGGGCGCUAAUACCGCAUACGUCCUGAGGGAGAAAGUGGGGGAUCUUCGGACCUCACGCUAUCAGAUGAGCCUAGGUCGGAUUAGCUAGUUGGUGGGGUAAACGCCUACCAAGGCGACGAUCCGUAACUGGUCUGAGAGGAUGAUCAGUCACACUGGAACUGAGACACGGUCCAGACUCCUACGGGAGGCAGCAGUGGGGAAUAUUGGACAAUGGGCGAAAGCCUGAUCCAGCCAUGCCGCGUGUGUGAAGAAGGUCUUCGGAUUGUAAAGCACUUUAAGUUGGGAGGAAGGGCAGUAAGUUAAUACCUUGCUGUUUUGACGUUACCAACAGAAUAAGCACCGGCUAUCUUCGUG
Molecule: ribosomal RNA, 484 nt
Filed under: uncultured bacterium
Lineage: Bacteria
Description: partial 16S ribosomal RNA
Rfam family: Bacterial small subunit ribosomal RNA
Source: RNAcentral